This 504-nucleotide ribosomal RNA is filed under the name uncultured bacterium. RNAcentral describes it as "bacterial SSU rRNA". It matches the Rfam family "Bacterial small subunit ribosomal RNA", at positions 29 to 518 of the family's 1533-position model. The record is from RNAcentral.
AUAAACGCUGGCGGCGCACAUAAGACAUGCAAGUCGAACGAGAAUCGUUAAAACGGAUUGAAGAUUUAUCAGAUUGAAGUUUUAACAAUGGUUCUAGUGGCGGACUGGUGAGUAACACGUAAGCAACCUGCCUAUUAGAGGGGAAUAACAGUGAGAAAUCAUUGCUAAUACCGCAUAUGCUCACAGUACCACAUGGUACAGUGAGGAAAGGAGUAAUCCGCUAAUAGAUGGGCUUGCGUCUGAUUAGAUAGUUGGUGGGGUAACGGCCUACCAAGUCAACGAUCAGUAGCCGGACUGAGAGGUUGAACGGCCACAUUGGGACUGAGAUACGGCCCAGACUCCUACGGGAGGCAGCAGUCGGGAAUAUUGCGCAAUGGAGGAAACUCUGACGCAGUGACGCCGCGUGCAGGAAGAAGGUUUUCGGAUUGUAAACUGCUUUAGUCAAGGAAGAUACAAGACAGUACUUGAAGAAUAAGCACCGGCUAACUAUGUGCCAGCCGCAGC